AAACCCCAAAAAACAAAAACCAGCAAAACCCAGAAUAGAGAUUGAGGCCAGCCCUUCUCUGUAGCGCUGCUCUAUUUAUAGCCUCCUUAAUGCCCAGAGUCCAGGGAAGUUUCCUUGAGGGUUUGUCCAGCUAUCUGAGUCACGUGGCUCUUUUCCCUUGAACCUUGGCACAAUCAAGUGUAGGUGUGUCCUCAAAGUGUAGGUGUGUCUUCAACGUGUAGGCGGCUGUAAGGCUGCUGCCUUGAGAGAGCAAGGAUUCCUACGAGGAGGAAAGGGAGGCUUUGAAGUUUCACUUGCCACAAUGACGGACAGAAGCCCCUUUGAGACAGACAUGCUGACCCUGACCCGUUACGUUAUGGAAAAGGGGCGACAGGCCAAAGGGACCGGAGAACUCACCCAGCUGCUCAACUCGAUGCUGACUGCCAUCAAAGCCAUCUCUUCCGCUGUGCGAAAGGCCGGCCUGGCCAACCUGUAUGGGAUUGCGGGAAGCGUGAAUGUGACAGGGGAUGAGGUGAAGAAACUGGAUGUGCUGUCCAAUUCCCUGGUGAUCAACAUGCUUCAGUCCUCCUACAGCACCUGUGUGCUUGUCUCAGAAGAGAAUAAAGAGGCUGUGAUCACAGCCAAGGAGAGGAGGGGGAAAUAUGUGGUUUGCUUUGACCCACUGGAUGGAUCUUCAAACAUUGACUGCCUGGCUUCCAUUGGAACUAUAUUUGCUAUCUACAGAAAGACCACAGAGGAUGAGCCUUCCGAGAAGGAUGCCUUGCAGCCUGGACGCAAUAUCGUGGCUGCAGGUUAUGCACUGUAUGGUAGUGCAACCCUGGUGGCUCUUUCUACAGGGCAAGGAGUGGAUCUCUUCAUGCUGGACCCGGCUCUUGGAGAAUUCGUGCUAGUGGAAAAAGAUAUCCGGAUUAAGAAGAAAGGGAAAAUUUUUAGCCUCAAUGAGGGCUAUGCCAAGUAUUUUGAUGCUGCUACCGCUGAGUAUGUACAGAAAAAGAAGUUCCCUGAGGGGUUCAUGUCACUGUUUACAACGCUCAUCUGCAUGAGUCUGAUGGACUCUGUCCUUCUUCAUCAAUGAUCAAUCUUCUUUGCAUCUGGGAGUGACAUAUUAAAAUGAACACUGCCCGAUUCAGUCCCUCUAGGAAUUUGUCAGAAGCCACAUUUUCAGAAUUCAUAACUCCAGCCAGAAGCACUCUCAGGUCAUGUUUGCUAAGCUGUAAUCUAUAGAUGUUGAAAUACCAGUUACUCUGCUUUAAGAUGGGAUAUGAUCAUAUCAUUCAGUUUACAAGCUAUCUUAUCGUGAUCUUGCUGUUAACCAUAGGUCAUCCGAUGUUGUCAUUAUUGUUUGUGAUGCUGGGACUCCAAGUCAGAUCCUUGCAUAUAUUCUGAAAAAGCAGUGAAGGACUGAGCUGCUCCCUGCCUCCACACCUUCUCACAGUAUAGAGAAGAAUGGAGAGAAAAGUGUCUACCUGCUCAACAACAAAGUCUUUCUUUGUCUCUCUGUGUGUAUUUAUAGAGUCUGGAGCUUGCCAAGGAGGCGAAGCUGGCUGACCAGUGAUUUCCAAGGAAUCUACCAAUCUUUAUCUCUAUGGAUGGCAGUGCACCUUACGGGGCAAGGUACGUGGGUUCCAUGGUGGCUGAUGUGCAUCGCACCCUGGUCUAUGGAGGAAUCUUCAUGUACCCAGCCAACCAGAAGAGUCCUAAUGGCAAG
Rattus norvegicus (Norway rat) is the source of this 1708-nucleotide non-coding RNA. The record is from RefSeq and is a predicted model, not a curated record. Lineage: Eukaryota; Metazoa; Chordata; Mammalia; Rodentia; Muridae.